RNAcentral lists this small RNA (52 nucleotides) under Palleronia aestuarii. Its description in RNAcentral is "Maribius sp. Y26 ffh sRNA". It matches the Rfam family "ffh sRNA". Lineage: Bacteria; Pseudomonadati; Pseudomonadota; Alphaproteobacteria; Rhodobacterales; Roseobacteraceae. The record is from Rfam by way of RNAcentral.
UUGCGCCGGGAUCGCCUCCCGCCAGCGCGUUGCGCCCGCGGGAGCGAUCGUC